RNAcentral lists this ribosomal RNA (1327 nucleotides) under metagenome. RNAcentral's name for it is "bacterial LSU rRNA". It matches the Rfam family "Bacterial large subunit ribosomal RNA", at positions 1578 to 2925 of the family's 2925-position model. The record is from RNAcentral.
AAAAAGUAGUGAAGUCCGUGAGCCAUGCGUCAAGAAAAGCCGCUAUUGUUUGUACCGUACCCGUACCGUAAACCGACACAGGUGGAUGAGGAGAGAAUCCUAAGGCCGGCGGAAGAAGCAUUGUCAAGGAACUCGGCAAAAUGGCCCCGUAACUUAGGGAUAAGGGGUGCCUCAGAAAUGAGGCCGCAGAGAAUAGGCUCAAGCAACUGUUUAGCAAAAACACAGGUCUAUGCGAAACCGAAAGGUGAGGUAUAUGGGCUGACGCCUGCCCGGUGCUGGAAGGUUAAGAGGAGAGGUUAGCGCAAGCGAAGCUUUGAAUUUAAGCCCCAGUAAACGGCGGCCGUAACAAUAACGGUCCUAAGGUAGCGAAAUUCCUUGUCGGGUAAGUUCCGACCCGCACGAAAGGCGUAAUGAUUUGAGCGCUGUCUCGACAAUGCAUCCGGUGAAAUUGAAGUACCAGUGAAGAUGCUGGUUACCUGCGCCAGGACGGAAAGACCCCAUGGAGCUUUACUCCAGUUUGGUACUGGGACUCGGUAUUGCAUGUACAGGAUAGGUGGGAGGCUAGGAGAUAGUAACGCCAGUUAUUAUGGAGCCGCUGUUGGGAUACCACCCUUGCAGUAUUGGGUUUCUAACCAGCCGCCGUGACCCGGCGGUGGGACAAUGCCAGACGGGGAGUUUGACUGGGGCGGUCGCCUCCGAAAGGGUAUCGGAGGCGCCCAAAGGUUCCCUCAGAAUGGACGGAAACCAUUCGAAGAGUGCAAAGGCAGAAGGGAGCUUGACUGCGACACCGACGGGUGGAGCAGGUACGAAAGUAGGGCUUAGUGAUCCGGUGGUAUUAAGUGGGAAUGCCAUCGCUCAACGGAUAAAAGCUACCCUGGGAUAACAGGCUUAUCACUCCCAAGAGUUCACAUCGACGGAGUGGUUUGGCACCUCGAUGUCGGCUCAUCGCAUCCUGGGGCUGUAGUAGGUCCCAAGGGUUGGGCUGUUCGCCCAUUAAAGCGGUACGCGAGCUGGGUUCAGAACGUCGUGAGACAGUUCGGUCCCUAUCCGGCGUGGGCGUAGGAUAUCUGAGAGGAGCUGUCCUUAGUACGAGAGGACCGGGAUGGACGGGCCGCUGGUGCAUCGGUUAGACUGCCAAGUCUACGGCCGAGUAGCCAAGCCCGGAAGGGAUAAACGCUGAAGGCAUCUAAGCGUGAAGCCCCCCUUAAGAUGAGAUAUCCCAUUCGAAAGAAGUAAACCCCCUUGAAGACGACGAGGUAGAUAGGGCAGAGGUGGAAGUGUGGCAACACAUGGAGCUGACUGUUACUAAUCGGGUGAGGGCUUGACC